UGCCAGCCGGAACCAGGAGUCAUUGCAGGAGCCACACUGCACCUUCGUAAUGAGAAGAAAGUGGCUCAUUCACGCGAACCCAGGCAUCACUCAGGAAAGUGGAUAUGCUAAGAGAACUUAGGCAAUUCAUUUGCGAUCACCAGGGGUUUCACUUGCUUUCAACACAUUUUUUUUAGAUUUAAAAAAAACUGCUAUCACCAGCAUUAACUCUGGCUCCCCGUCUCCCUGCCAUUUCAUGUAAUAAUUCCACGGGGAGUCCUGGCGGGUAUUUAGCUCCUAAUUUAAGCUCCACUAAACAAGCCCAACGCAAAACUAGCUUCUCAGGGACCACCAUAAAGGGUUCCAAACAGUCUUUGGGGAAAGAAGAAGACACCCCAGGUAGGCUUCCUUCCAUAUUGCAGACAUUGAUCAAACUUACAAACUCCAAGCCACUCUUCAAAACCUGUUAUAAAAUGUCACCUCUUCUCUGAAGCCCUCCCCAGCAUCCGAGUUGUAUCUGUGCUCCCAUUGCAUUCUGCAAAUGCUUUUACUUCAUCCAGAAAGGUGUGAUUAAAUAAGUUACGGUGCAGCCAUAAAAUAAAACACUAUGCAUACUCUAUUUUUUAAUGAAGCAGAACCAAAUGGGUUGAAAUAGAAAGAAGUCCACAGUGCAAACCUAAAAGCGAAGGAAGCAAGGUGUCAAGAUGGAUUUGGAGGAAAGGUUGUAUGGGGGAGUGAAGAGAAGGGGGACCCCUGGUGGUGACUGCUAUCCACAGCAAUCCAGCUCUGACCCCAAACUCAUCCCCACCCCAAAGAGCCAAACCUCUGGGCUCUGCGUGGUGGCUCAUGCCUGUAAUCUCAGUGCUUUGGGAGGAUCACAAGAAGCCAAGAGUUCAAGACCAGCCUGGGCAACAUAGCAAGAUCCUGUCUCUACAAAAAAAAUUUAAAAAU
Molecule: long non-coding RNA, 930 nt
Filed under: Homo sapiens (human)
Lineage: Eukaryota; Metazoa; Chordata; Mammalia; Primates; Hominidae
Description: non-protein coding lnc-C16orf78-8:1
Source: RNAcentral